Molecule: ribosomal RNA, 497 nt
Filed under: uncultured bacterium
Lineage: Bacteria
Description: partial 16S ribosomal RNA
Rfam family: Bacterial small subunit ribosomal RNA
Source: RNAcentral
GAUGAACGCUGGCGGCGUGCCUAAUACAUGCAAGUCGAGCGAACGGACGAGAAGCUUGCUUCUCUGAUGUUAGCGGCGGACGGGUGAGUAACACGUGGAUAACCUACCUAUAAGACUGGGAUAACUUCGGGAAACCGGAGCUAAUACCGGAUAAUAUUUUGAACCGCAUGGUUCAAAAGUGAAAGACGGUCUUGCUGUCACUUAUAGAUGGAUCCGCGCUGCAUUAGCUAGUUGGUAAGGUAACGGCUUACCAAGGCAACGAUGCAUAGCCGACCUGAGAGGGGGAUCGGCCACCCUGGAACUGAGACGCGGUCCAGACUCCUACGGGAGGCAGCAGUAGGCAAUCUUCCGCAAUGGGCGAAAGCCUGACGGAGCAACGCCGCGUGAGUGAUGAAGGUCUUCGGAUCGUAAAACUCUGUUAUUAGGGAAGAACAUAUGUGGAAGUAGCUGUGCACAUCUUGACGGUACCUAAUCAGAAAGCCACGGCUAACUACGUG